CACACAAUCCGGAUCCCUUGAGGGAUCCCGGAUGGAGUUGUGGUGCGGGAUCCUAUUGUGAGCCGUUGGAUUUAAUCCAACGGCCUGGAAUAGAGAAGCCCUUAAAUCUCGUUGGAAAUUACACUUUCCCCCUCACACUCACACUUUCCCCCUUCUCAUUUCAUUUACGGACAGACCAGAGAGAGAGAGAGAGAGAGAGAGAGAGAGAGAGGCGACGCGAACCAGAGAAGACGAACGAAGAGGAGAAGAUCGAAGACGAAUGAAGAUCCACCGAGGACGAACAACGAAGAACGAAGAGGAGAAGAAGAACGAAGAAGAUCGACUGGAGAACGAGGUAUCUCUAUCAUAUUUUUCUCUCUCGUUCAAAAAAAUAAAAAUCUGGUUCGGAAGAAAUUUCUUAGAAAUUAUGUUGUUUUUUUUUUAGGACGAACGACGAAGAGCGAAGAGGAGAAGAAGAACGAAGAAGCUCGACUGGAGAACGUGAUUGAACCAAAUAAGGUAUCUCUCUCUUCACUGUUUGACUGAUUUGAACCCCUUUUUGUUAGGGUUUCAAUUUCGAUCCAGGAAUGGUGUUAGGGUUAGGUUUUUAUUUUGAUUAGUUGUAUAUGAAAAACGAAAUUUGGGGAAAUUUGUAAGUUUUAGUUUUGAAAUUUUAUAGAGAUUUUAUCUAUCCAAACAUGUAUCUAGAUUCUAGGAUGAAUACUGGGUUAGUUUAAAACUCUAAAACUGGAAGGUGAAAAAGUUUAAAAUGCACUACUAUGAUUUAUGUGUGUAUUUACCCCCAAACAAUGACAUGGAUGACCUAGAUUUAUGAGAAUGCUGCCUCACCUAGAUUUACAGCGUCCCAUUUUUAAUUUUGUAUGAAUCAUAUAAGUACUUUAAGGAAGAGUAACUGGUAUACUUGGCUAAAUUGUGAGGUUGAAAAAUAUCCUAGUUUUGUGCGGCUUUGCGUAUGCAACUGAAGUGCUACGAAGUUGUGAGAGAUGGUGAGUUUGGGUGAAAGUGUUCAUCAAAACGUAUGGCAUAAAUGUGGAGAUUGAGGAUUAAAACCUCAAGGGAAACGUAUGGCAAAUGUGGAGAUCCAAGCUUUGAGUCGGUUUGGUGUUCCUGUCUUUCUGUUACCUCCUCAUUUUCUCAUGACAAACUUCAGUUUACUUUUGUCUUUUCUAUUACGGAGAUUCUGUGUUACUUUUAUGAGCUGACAUGCACCGGUUCAGAUUUUAUUUGCUAUGAUUUUCUCGGUUUUGUUGUGGGGUAGUAUGUUAUAUUAUGCAUCCGAAAAGGCUUCAUGAAUAUUCUCAAUUCCUUUUAUGAGAAUGUCCAUAUUAUUAAAAGUUACUGGAUACCAUCUUCCAUUUGAGGUUUGAUAUUUCAGAAAUCUUGUUAUGUCGUAUACUGUCUUCCCAACAUUUUUGAAAGAUUUGUAACUCUUUUUUUUUUUACUUUCUAAUUUUGAGUAUCAUAGAGCGGCCAUUGUUACAUUAUAGGAGGAGAAAGCAACUCAUUUCAUGGAAGGAAGUAGUUCGUGUAACAAUGGAAGUGGUGAUCUCGAUUUUGGGAUCUUUUGUUAUUGUGGAGAUCCCACACCAUUGAGGAAAUCUGGAACACAAAAGAACCCAGGUCAAAGGUUCUUCGGAUGUGCAAACUAUAAGUUAGACUUGGAUUGUGGUUUUUUUUGCUGGUAUGAGCCUUGUAUUUUGCAAUGGCGGGCUGAUUUGAGGCCAAUGAUGGUUUAGACAAAAAAAAAAAAAAAAAAGCCUGUGAGGACUGUUGAACAAUGUGAGAGUUCAGCAUUCAUGAGCAUUAGUGAAGAUAUGCAGAGGACAACAAUCACAAUGCAGAUGAAGAUUGAAGCCAUGCAGAAGGAGAUUGAUGCAAUGAGAAUGAGAAAUGGGGGGAAAAUGAACUGGAAUUACCUUUAGAUUGUUGUUUUUUGUAUUGUGUCAUACAUGUGCGGCAAAAGCAGCCACUGAACUAAAGUAGUAGUAGUAGUAUGUUUGGGACUAUGAAAUUGCUUACUGUUGGGAUUUGGUUUGGU
Molecule: long non-coding RNA, 2038 nt
Organism: Rhododendron vialii
Lineage: Eukaryota; Viridiplantae; Streptophyta; Magnoliopsida; Ericales; Ericaceae
Exons: 3
Source: RefSeq, a predicted model, not a curated record